Molecule: long non-coding RNA, 831 nt
Organism: Melanotaenia boesemani (Boeseman's rainbowfish)
Lineage: Eukaryota; Metazoa; Chordata; Actinopteri; Atheriniformes; Melanotaeniidae
Exons: 8
Source: RefSeq, a predicted model, not a curated record
GCAGGAGGGCUCCAAAGGUACUUGCCAGUAUCCUUUGCACAUAUCCAGUGUGGUGAUGUACGUGGCAGAUCCAAUUCUCUCCAGCAGGUCAUCAAUUCUCGGCAUGGGAUAGGCGUCAAACUCUGAAAUGGCGUUCAGCUUUCGGAAAUCGAUGCAGGGCCGUAGUGAGCCAUCCUUUUUGGUUAGGAGGACCAUUGGGCUACACCACUCUGAUUCUGAUGGCUCGAUCACCCCCAUCUCCAGCAUGGUUGUGAUCUCCUCCUUCAGUUUCCCAACCAGCUGCUGAGGAACACGGGACGGUGCCUCCUGGAACACUUGUAGAAGGUCUGAUGCUUGGUCUGGUGCCCACCGUCGCCACCUGAUUCUGAGGUUCUUUCCAUCUCUUUAGUAGGUUGACAUGGAUUAACAUUCCCAACAUCCAUCACCUUGGCAAACAGGGGCUCCAAUGUGCUAUCUUGCUUCUGUAAUUCCACAAUAUUUUCAGCAAACACAUCAACACUGGCAAGUCCCUCCCCAAAAGAAGGUCCACAGGCAGAUUAUCUACCACCCCAACAGUCAGAAAAUAAGGCUGCUCAUCGAUUAACACAGUUAUUUCAGUCUGAGGUUGGUUCCAGCUCAUUUCUGGUCCCUGUGCUGGUGAUACCUGGAGGAUGUCGUACUGUUGCUCCCCGUUGUGUCCAGACCUGCGAUAUCGGAAGGGCUGGAGGCCGUACGUUGGUGGUGGGUCGAGCCAAGGUGGUGGUUCUCACCUCUGGCGACAGGACGCGAAGAAGUUGCUCCAGGAUGAUGGCCUCCCCGAUCUGCUCUUUGGUCCGUUGCUCCGGCUGAAUC